UGGGGAAUCUUGCGCAAUGGGCGAAAGCCUGACGCAGCCAUGCCGCGUGAAUGAUGAAGGUCUUAGGAUUGUAAAAUUCUUUCACCGGGGACGAUAAUGACGGUACCCGGAGAAGAAGCCCCGGCUAACUUCGUGCCAGCAGCCGCGGUAAUACGAAGGGGGCUAGCGUUGCUCGGAAUUACUGGGCGUAAAGGGAGCGUAGGCGGACUGUUAAGUUAGAGGUGAAAGCCCAGGGCUCAACCUUGGAAUUGCCUUUGAUACUGGCAGUCUUGAGUACGGAAGAGUUAUGUGGAACUCCGAGUGUAGAGGUGAAAUUCGUAGAUAUUCGGAAGAACACCAGUGGCGAAGGCGACAUACUGGUCCGUUACUGACGCUGAGGCUCGAAAGCGUGGGGAGCAAACAGG
This 404-nucleotide ribosomal RNA is filed under the name bacterium. RNAcentral describes it as "partial 16S ribosomal RNA". It matches the Rfam family "Bacterial small subunit ribosomal RNA", at positions 355 to 776 of the family's 1533-position model. The record is from RNAcentral.